UACGGAGGGGGCUAGCGUUGUUAGGAAUUACUGGGCGUAAAGCGCGCGUAGGCGGACCUGCAAGUCGGGGGUGAAAGCCCGAGGCUCAACCUCGGAACUGCCUUUGAUACUGAGAAGCUCGAGUCCGGGAGAGGUGAGUGGAACUGCGAGUGUAGAGGUGAAAUUCGUAGAUAUUCGCAAGAACACCAGUGGCGAAGGCGGCUCACUGGCCCGGUACUGACGCUGAGGUGCGAAAGCGUGGGGAGCAAACAGG
Molecule: ribosomal RNA, 253 nt
Filed under: uncultured bacterium
Lineage: Bacteria
Description: partial 16S ribosomal RNA
Rfam family: Bacterial small subunit ribosomal RNA
Source: RNAcentral